Molecule: ribosomal RNA, 497 nt
Filed under: uncultured bacterium
Lineage: Bacteria
Description: partial 16S ribosomal RNA
Rfam family: Bacterial small subunit ribosomal RNA
Source: RNAcentral
GAUGAACGCUGGCGGCGUGCCUAAUACAUGCAAGUCGAGCGAACAGACGAGGAGCUUGCUCCUCUGACGUUAGCGGCGGACGGGUGAGUAACACGUGGGUAACCUACCUAUAAGACUGGGAUAACUUCGGGAAACCGGAGCUAAUACCGGAUAAUAUAUUGAACCGCAUGGUUCAAUAGUGAAAGACGGUUUUGCUGUCACUUAUAGAUGGAUCCGCGCCGCAUUAGCUAGUUGGUAAGGUAACGGCUUACCAAGGCAACGAUGCGUAGCCGACCUGAGAGGGUGAUCGGCCACACUGGAACUGAGCCACGGUCCAGACUCCUACGGGAGGCAGCAGUAGGGAAUCUUCCGCAAUGGGCGAAAGCCUGACGGAGCAACGCCGCGUGAGUGAUGAAGGUCUUCGGAUCGUAAAACUCUGUUAUUAGGGAAGAACAAAUGUGUAAGUAACUAUGCACGUCUUGACGGUACCUAAUCAGAAAGCCACGGCUAACUACGUG